RNAcentral lists this transfer RNA (65 nucleotides) under Urocitellus parryii (Arctic ground squirrel). Its description in RNAcentral is "Spermophilus parryii (Arctic ground squirrel) tRNA". The record is from Rfam by way of RNAcentral. Lineage: Eukaryota; Metazoa; Chordata; Mammalia; Rodentia; Sciuridae. RNAcentral also lists the same sequence under 1 other name.
UGUGGCUCAGCGGUAGGUAGAGCGCUCACCUAGCAUGUGUGAAGCCCUGGGUUCAAUCCUCAGCA